RNAcentral lists this ribosomal RNA (515 nucleotides) under Agorius constrictus. RNAcentral's name for it is "partial 16S ribosomal RNA". The stretch from base 126 to 420 matches the Rfam family "Bacterial large subunit ribosomal RNA", at positions 2074 to 2646 of the family's 2925-position model. The record is from RNAcentral. Lineage: Eukaryota; Metazoa; Arthropoda; Arachnida; Araneae; Salticidae.
GUACUAAGGUAGCAUAAUAAUUUGUCUUUUAAUUAAUGACUAGAACAAAAGAUUUUUCAUUUUAAAUUAUUUCUUUAAUAUAAAUUUUAAAUUUAUUUUAAAUGUAAAAAAACAUUUAUUUCAAAAGAAAGACAACAAGACCCUAUUGAACUUAACUUAAGUUUUACUGGGGAAGUAAAUUAAUUAUUAUUUUAAAAUAUAUCAUAAUUUAAUAAUCUUUAAUAUAAAAUUCUCAAGUUACCAUAGGGAUAACAGCAUAAUUAUUUUCAAUAGAUCUUAUUCAAAAAAUAGAUUAUGACCUCGAUGUUGAAUUAAUAUUCUAUUUAAAGCAACAAUUAAUAUUAGAAAGUCUGUUCGACUUUUAAAAAAUUACAUGAUUUGAGUUCAGACCGGUACAAGCCAGGUCGGAUUAUAUCUUCUAAAAACUAUUAUAUAGUACGAAAGGACCUAUAAUUAUAAUUAUAUUAAUAUAUUGGCAGACAAUUGCAUUAGAAUUAGAAUCUAAUUAUGUUUAA